RNAcentral lists this ribosomal RNA (492 nucleotides) under uncultured bacterium. RNAcentral describes it as "partial 16S ribosomal RNA". It matches the Rfam family "Bacterial small subunit ribosomal RNA", at positions 29 to 507 of the family's 1533-position model. The record is from RNAcentral.
AGUGAACGCUGGCGGUAGGCCUAACACAUGCAAGUCGAACGGCAGCACAGUAAGAGCUUGCUCUUACGGGUGGCGAGUGGCGGACGGGUGAGGAAUACAUCGGAACCUACUUUUUCGUGGGGGAUAACGUAGGGAAACUUACGCUAAUACCGCAUACGACCUACGGGUGAAAGCAGGGGAUCUUCGGACCUUGCGCGUUUGAAUGAGCCGAUGUCGGAUUAGCUAGUUGGCGGGGUAAAGGCCCACCAAGGCGACGAUCCGUAGCUGGUCUGGGAGGAUGAUCAGCCACACUGGAACUGAGACACGGUCCAGACUCCUACGGGAGGCAGCAGUGGGGAAUAUUGGACAAUGGGCGCAAGCCUGAUCCAGCCAUACCGCGUGGGUGAAGAAGGCCUUCGGGUUGUAAAGCCCUUUUGUUGGGAAAGAAAAGCAGCAGGUUAAUACCCCGCUGUUCUGACGGUACCCAAAGAAUAAGCACCGGCUAACUUCGUG